This 425-nucleotide ribosomal RNA is filed under the name uncultured bacterium. RNAcentral describes it as "partial 16S ribosomal RNA". It matches the Rfam family "Bacterial small subunit ribosomal RNA", at positions 354 to 796 of the family's 1533-position model. The record is from RNAcentral.
GUGGGGAAUAUUGGACAAUGGGCGAAAGCCUGAUCCAGCAAUGCCGCGUGAGUGAUGAAGGCCCUAGGGUUGUAAAGCUCUUUUACCAGGGAUGAUAAUGACAGUACCUGGAGAAUAAGCUCCGGCUAACUCCGUGCCAGCAGCCGCGGUAAUACGGAGGGAGCUAACGUUGUUCGGAAUUACUGGGCGUAAAGCGCGCGUAGGCGGUUUUUUAAGUCAGAGGUGAAAGCCCGGGGCUCAACCCCGGAAUUGCCUUUGAAACUGGAAAACUUGAAUCUUGGAGAGGUCAGUGGAAUUCCGAGUGUAGAGGUGAAAUUCGUAGAUAUUCGGAAGAACACCAGUGGCGAAGGCGACUGACUGGACAAGUAUUGACGCUGAGGUGCGAAAGCGUGGGGAGCAAACAGGAUUAGAUACCCGUGUAGUCC